RNAcentral lists this ribosomal RNA (712 nucleotides) under uncultured bacterium. RNAcentral's name for it is "bacterial SSU rRNA". It matches the Rfam family "Bacterial small subunit ribosomal RNA", at positions 60 to 753 of the family's 1533-position model. The record is from RNAcentral.
AGUCGUGCGAGAAGGAGACUUCGGUCUCUGAGUAGAGCGGCGCACGGGUGAGUAACGCGUGGAUGAUCUACCCUUGAGUUCGGGAUAACGGUGCGAAAGCGCCGCUAAUACCGUAUAACAAUCCAUUUCAUCGUGGGUUCAAAGCAGGCCUCUUCAUGAAAGCUUGCGCUUGGGGAUGAGUCCGCGUCCCAUUAGCUUGUUGGCGGGGUAACGGCCCACCAAGGCUACGAUGGGUAGCUGGUCUGAGAGGAUGAUCAGCCACACUGGAACUGAAACACGGUCCAGACUCCUACGGGAGGCAGCAGUGGGGAAUAUUGCGCAAUGGGGGAAACCCUGACGCAGCGACGUCGUGUGAGGGAAGAAGGCCUUCGGGUCGUAAACCUCUGUCAGAAGGGAAGAACAUCCGGGAGUCGAACAGCCUCCCGGCCUGACGGUACCUUCAGAGGAAGCGCCGGCUAACUCCGUGCCAGCAGCCGCGGUAAUACGGAGGGCGCAAGCGUUAAUCGGAAUCACUGGGCGUAAAGCGUGCGUAGGCUGUCUGAUAAGUCAGACGUGAAAUCCCUCGGCUCAACCGGGGAACUGCGUUUGAUACUGUUGAACUAGAGUCCUGGAGAGGGUGGCGGAAUUCCUGGUGUAGGAGUGAAAUGCGUAGAGAUGUGGAGGAACACCGAUGGCGAAGGCAGCCCCCUGGGAUGACACUGACGCUCAUGUA